CCACCAAAGCGACCAUCAAUAGCCGGCCUGAGAGGUGGAACGGACACAUUGGGACUGAUACACGGCCCAAACUCCUACGGGAGGCAGCAGUGGGGAAUAUUGCACAAUGGGGGAAACCCUGAUGCAGCGACGCCGCGUGAGUGAAGAAGUAUUUCGGUAUGUAAAGCUCUAUCAGCAGGGAAGAAAGUGACGGUACCUGAAUAAGAAGCCCCGGCUAACUACGUGCCAGCAGCCGCGGAAAUACGUAGGGGGCAAGCGUUAUCCGGAUUUACUGGGUGUAAAGGGAGUGUAGACGGCAAGGCAAGUCUGAAGUGAAAGCCCGGUGCUCAACGCCGGGACUGCUUUGGAAACUGUUUAGCUAGAGUGCCGGAGAGGUAAGCGGAAUUCCUAGUGUAGCGGUGAAAUGCGUAGAUAUUAGGAAGAACACCAGUGGCGAAGGCGGCUUACUGGACGGUAACUGACGUUGGGGCUCGAAAGCGUGGGGAGCAAACGGGAUUAGAUACCCUGGUAGUCCACGCCGUAAACGAUGAUUGCUAGGUGUAGGUGGGUAUGGACCCAUCGGUGCCGCAGCUAACGCAAUAAGCAAUCCACCUGGGGAGUACGUUCGCAAGAAUGAAACUCAAAGGAAUUGACGGGGACCCGCACAAGCGGUGGAGCAUGUGGUUUAAUUCGAAGCAACGCGAAGAACCUUACCAGGUCUUGACAUCCCGAUGAAAAACCCGUAACGGGGUUCCCUCUUCGGAGCAUCGGUGACAGGUGGUGCAUGGUUGUCGUCAGCUCGUGUCGUGAGAUGUUGGGUUAAGUCCCGCAACGAGCGCAACCCUUAUCCUUAGUAGCCAGCAGUUCGGCUGGGCACUCUAGGGAGACUGCCGGGGAUAACCCGGAGGAAGGUGGGGAUGACGUCAAAUCAUCAUGCCCCUUAUGAUCUGGGCUACACACGUGCUACAAUGGCGUAAACAAAGGGAAGCAAGCCGGUGACGGCAAGCAAAACCCAAAAAUAACGUCCCAGUUCGGACUGUAGUCUGCAACCCGACUACACGAAGCUGGAAUCGCUAGUAAUCGCGAAUCAGCAUGUCGCGGUGAAUACGUUCCCGGGUCUUGUACACACCGCCCGUCACACCAUGGGAGUCGGAAAUGCCCGAAGUCUGUGACUCAACCGUAAGGAGAGAGCAGCCGAAGGCAGGUCUGAUAACUGGGGU
Molecule: ribosomal RNA, 1199 nt
Filed under: uncultured organism
Description: SSU rRNA
Rfam family: Bacterial small subunit ribosomal RNA
Source: RNAcentral